RNAcentral lists this ribosomal RNA (334 nucleotides) under uncultured bacterium. RNAcentral describes it as "bacterial SSU rRNA". It matches the Rfam family "Bacterial small subunit ribosomal RNA", at positions 30 to 365 of the family's 1533-position model. The record is from RNAcentral.
AUUGAACGCUGGCGGCAGGCCUAACACAUGCAAGUCGAGCGGAUGAAGGGAGCUUGCUCCUGGAUUCAGCGGCGGACGGGUGAGUAAUGCCUAGGAAUCUGCCUGGUAGUGGGGGAUAACGUCCGGAAACGGGCGCUAAUACCGCAUACGUCCUGAGGGAGAAAGUGGGGGAUCUUCGGACCUCACGCUAUCAGAUGAGCCUAGGUCGGAUUAGCUAGUUGGUGGGUAAAGGCCUACCAAGGCGACGAUCCGUAACUGGUCUGAGAGGAUGAUCAGUCACACUGGAACUGAGACACGGUCCAGACUCCUACGGGAGGCAGCAGUGGGGAAUAUU